AUGGGGGCCGCGCCGGGCUCGGGAUGGGAGGAGGGAGAGUUCGAGUUCAAGCUCGUGUUUGAGGAGGAUCCGCCGCGCCAGAGCCGCUGCGGCCCAGAACACACCGACAGCGGCCAGACGCGCCGUGAGCCAGCCGAUACCCACUUGACUUCCGCACAGGCUGGCCAACCCGUGGGUAUCCCUCCGUCAGCCGGUCGCAGGGCUGGGAUGCAUUCCCCACCCCCCAGACGGGCCUUCGUCAGGGAGUUCAGUGGGACUUUUGAGAGCCUGCCAGCAAGAUCAAUACAGGUGGGAGGCACAUUUGACUAAAUUGUAGAUUUCUAGAACAUCCUGAUACAAAGAUCAUGUUACACAUUGUGAUUAAAUCUGGUAAAACACAAUUUUUCUCAGUCGGAUUUACACUUUUCUCCAGUGCGGUGUACUUGUUCUCAAAACAAUUAGCACAGCCAUCCAAAUACAAAAUUAUCUUAACCAAACAAUUUUUUCUAGUAUUGCAUUUAUUAAAAGUAAAUAUUAACAUCAAAUCUAUAGGUGUGUUCUCUAUUGAUUUUAUAACACAUUCAGAAGUAGAUGGACAAAUAUGCUAAUGAAAAUUCAACAGGGAGUUUUGUUUUAUAUAUUUUGUGUAUAUCUAAACAAAAUAAAAAUUGUUAUCCAACACCUGCUGUCACCCAUGAGAAAAAACCAAUUGCCCCUUUAAACUUCAAAGCUGUCCAUGCCACCUUUAGCAGCAAGAAUAGCACCUUUAGUGCUCCUGUAGCUCAAGUGGUAGAGCAUUGCGUUACCAAGCGCAAGGUUGGGGGUUCGAUUCCCCGGGAACACAUGAUAGGUAAAAAUUGAUAGCCUGAAUGCACUGUAAAUCGCUUUGGAUAAAAGCGACUGCUAAAUGCAUAAUUUAAAUUUAAGAAACUUUUCUGAAAACUAAAGAUCAGUCUUUUACAGCACAGUGGUGGAUAUAUAUACAAUAUAUAACUUUUUUAGCUGGUGAAAAUACAAGUGUUCUAAUAAUUUUGGCCACCACUAUAUAUACACGUUUGUGUGUGUGUGUGUGUGUGUGUGUGUGUGUGUGUGUGCUUGCUGUAUAUAUGAAUAAUCCAGAAUUAUUGAUCUUGCCUUUCAUUUGCAUCUGGAAGAGAAUUUCAUUGCGUUUUAUCUAGACUACAUAUUGGCUGCGCUUGCAUCUUAGGAGAAAAAAUGUAAGAAGUUUGAAUCCAUACUUGACAAGCUCCUGUCUCAGCAUCUACAAAGGCCUCUUCCUUUGUGGCUGGUGGUGUUGUUCUGGACCACCAUGUCAACAAUGAUCCUGUUCCAUUCAGAAUAAUCUUGAUUGUCCAUCUAAAUGAUCUCGAACUUAAAUUCUGAAAAAUGUUUGGACAUUUACAGUCAAUAACAGAAGUUGUCCCAGAAGGACUAAAAAUCUGUACUAUCAACAAUUAUAGUAAACCUCCUCUCUAGUCAUCUCUUCUCCUCUUUUCACACAUCCUCCUCUCUGCUCAUCUCUUUUUACCUGUUACACUUUUCAUCUUCUCUCUCAUUACACCCCUUUCUCUACCCAGUCCACCGCCUUAUAGACGUACACCUCUUUCUUUACCUCCCCCCCAUUUUUAUUUUAUUUGUACUUUUUUUUUUUGCAUAUUCAUUCUUGCGCUUUGUAUACUUUCCCUUUUAUUAUUACUCUGAAGCAAGUGUGAUAAAUGUGUAAACGAUUAGGAAAACUGCAUUUCUUGUGUCGAGUGUAUGAUUAACCGAAUAACGUCAGUUAUAUACACCAUGUUCAUUUGAUAGAAUGACAAAUUACAGAGUUUUUUUUUUUUUUGUUACGUUUGGACAAAUGGUGCAUAAAAGUUUGUGAUUUGUGUAAAAUGUUUUUUUUUUAGAUAUUUUAAACUAUUGGUUGGUUGUAUUAACUAUUGUGAAAACGUUUCAGAGUUUUGUGCACACUGUUUUGAGAAAAUAAUUAGCAUGAUUUGUAAUUUUUAUGAAAUGAAUGAAAACGUUCAAUCUGUUUAGGACAGUUAUAAAGUGUUCAGGUCACUGUGUUAACUGUUUUGAGAACAGUGACCUGAGUUUGGAGAAAUGUGUCAAAUCAGUUGAGAAAAUCCAGAGGUCUGGUUUUAAUUUCAGGAGUUCGUUUUUGUUGCCCAGUAAUGUUUAUUGUGAACAGAAUCGGUUGCCAUGAGCUGUUGUGCAUAUUUUGUUUUGGCAAAUAAGGGCUGCACAUAAACGUUAGAGUUCAAUUAAAUUUAAGUAUCCUUUAGCAUUUAAAGUCAACCAAAAUCAAACCAAAAGUGAGCAUAUUUAUUUAAUAUGUGUUUUUGGCCAUAUAGUGCAUCAUUCAUCUGUAAAUUAUUCCAAAGAAAAACGUGAUUGUCUUUGUAAUCUCAUUGUGAAAGUUAAGAUCAAGUCCUUUCUCUUUGAAUGUCUUGUUUCACUCAAAAAUACAGAAGUAAAAAGGGUCUCGAAUAGAGUGUGUAAUGAUUACAAAAUAUAAUGAC
Long non-coding RNA from Cyprinus carpio carpio, 2495 nucleotides. The record is from Ensembl. NCBI's taxonomy places the organism in Eukaryota, Metazoa, Chordata, Actinopteri, Cypriniformes, Cyprinidae.